This 82-nucleotide non-coding RNA is filed under the name Kushneria marisflavi. RNAcentral describes it as "SAH sequence". It matches the Rfam family "SAH (S-adenosyl-L-homocysteine) riboswitch aptamer". The record is from Rfam by way of RNAcentral. Lineage: Bacteria; Pseudomonadati; Pseudomonadota; Gammaproteobacteria; Oceanospirillales; Halomonadaceae.
CCACUCGAGGGGCGCUGCAGCAAGAGAGUGAUUCUUGCGAGGCUCGAGCUGGAUACCCCGGAUUCAACGGCGCCCGCUAUUU